Molecule: long non-coding RNA, 1313 nt
Organism: Esox lucius (northern pike)
Lineage: Eukaryota; Metazoa; Chordata; Actinopteri; Esociformes; Esocidae
Source: Ensembl
CGGCCAACAAGGAGACAGAUUUAUAGAAUUUUGCUUGGUUCUUUGGAGCACGGCUGACGACGUGAGGCAGGCAGCGCUCAGAGCAGUGAGAUAAUUGUCAGCGGAAUGUGCUCAGUACUGGGUUAGGGGGCUGCCAUGGGAGUCACUACGUGGAUCAGUCAAAAUAUAUCACUGCAGGCAGUCAGGCAGGCAGGAAGUCAGUCAGGCAGGCACAGCGCUGAGGAGAAAUGCCACAGGGAUGGCAUCCCAGGUGACGCAGUGCCUCCCAGGUGACGCAGUGCCUCCCAGGUGACGCAGUGCCUCCCAGGUGACGCAGUGCCUCCCAGGUGACGCAGUGCCUCCCAGGUGACGCAGUGCCUCCCAGGUGACGCAGUGCCUCCCAGGUGACGCAGUGCUCUAAGGCGUUCUUUUGAAGCACCAAGCUGACUACCACAGUCUAGGUUCAAGCCUAGACUUUGCCGCUAGCUUACAAGUGGCAGGGAAACACAAAUUCAUCUGUACUGCCCGGGGAGCCUGGGAUACAUAAUCAGCAUGGACUUCCUGAUCUCAUCAUUCUCGAGCGUGGACUACAUGGGAAAAGCAUUCUGGGAAAGUUCUGAAUGACUUUGCAUGCAUACUUAUAAGGAAAGGUUUCCACAAUUCUCAACUCUCCUGAAUUAAAUAUCAUAUAGACGCAUAAACACACUUGAUAAUCAAAUGCACGUAAAAAAGAGAGGGCCUAGAGUUAUUCAUUGACAGAGAAGUGUUUUAUUACAAUAUUUACUCUAGAUAUCUGAGUAUAUCUAGGGAGAUUAUACCUUUCCCUUAGUUGAUGAACGGAAAUAAAUUAUCUUCUAGGUUGGAAAGGACAAUGGAAGGUCUUUGUUCUGUCUGCAGCAGAACUGAUAGUGUUCUAAGGCCAAAGUUCACCUUAAUUUGCCUCCAAAUAUGCCGUGACUCAGUAAAGCGGAUUGCACAAUAUAUUUCUCACAUUAUCUUGUCUACUGGUCAUACCGGUCAGUGGAUGUACUCUAUAAAUCCCCAUUCAUCACAUUGAUGCAUGUAGACAUCAAGAUAUGAUUGUUUUAUCUGAUGGCUGAGAUAUAGACAACAUCAUGACAUCUGUCGUACAGUAACUUAAUGUGGCAGGCGUUCAAAGAAACGCUGGAAACAACAUUGCCCAAAUAAUGAUCUUGACAAGAAGGGGAAAAAAUGAUAGGAUGUUAAAUAAAUGAAUUGAAUGUGGAGGAGGAGUUCAAAUUGAAUGCAGCCUCUGUGAGCAGUUUGGUAACACUGACAGACUUUGAUCAGGGCUGGUGAACAUAAUGAGCCAG